This 598-nucleotide ribosomal RNA is filed under the name Globigerinoides ruber albus. RNAcentral's name for it is "partial small subunit ribosomal RNA". It matches the Rfam family "Eukaryotic small subunit ribosomal RNA", at positions 1293 to 1605 of the family's 1831-position model. The record is from RNAcentral. Lineage: Eukaryota; Foraminifera; Rotaliida; Globigerinidae.
CUUAGUUCGUGGAGUGAUCUGUCUGCUUAAUUGCGUUUCAAAUUUUUAACCGAGGACCGGGUUUUGGUUUGGCUAGUGGUCCUACGAUGACUGUGAACUGUCAUGUCUUCGGAUGUACGACUAUCGGUCUAGGAUCACAUGACUUGCCCCUGGGACUCUUUUGAACGCAACGGACGUGAUUGCAACCCCUUGUUGAGAUUAGAGAUAGUCUCGAUAUUCACUGGCCAAACUGGCUGCUUUAUGCAGUCUUGUUGAAUGGUGGAUAAACUCGGGGGACUGCUGACUAUAACCAUUUCUCAAAACAGAGGAAGGUUGCGGCAAUAACAGGUCUGUGAUGCCCUCAGAUGUCCCGGGCUGCACACGUGCUACAAUGAGUGGCGCAAUGUGCUAAUGUUUUAAGGGAUAAGCGUGCGGCCAGUAGAACGUCGGCAAUUGCCCUGGCGUCUUCUACCGCACGAUUAUCAGCCUUCCCUUAACAGGGCGGGCAACCUUUUCAAAAUACCGGUUUGAUGUUAAAGUAUAGAGUCGUUUUUUUUGGAUGGUGGUUUACGAACCAAUACCAUCCGCAACUGCUCGCGAGUUUGUGGUUCUGGUGACU